ACAGCAGCAGCCACGGGAAUACGUAGGGUGCGAGCGUUAAUCGGAAUUACUGGGCGUAAAGCGUGCGCAGGCGGUUCGUUAAGACAGAUGUGAAAUCCCCGGGCUUAACCUGGGAACUGCAUUUGUGACUGGCGAGCUAGAGUAUGGCAGAGGGGGGUAGAAUUCCACGUGUAGCAGUGAAAUGCGUAGAGAUGUGGAGGAAUACCGAUGGCGAAGGCAGCCCCCUGGGCCAAUACUGACGCUCAUGCACGAAAGCGUGGGGAGCAAACAGGAUUAGAUACCCGCGUAGUCCCUGUCUCUUAUAC
This 305-nucleotide ribosomal RNA is filed under the name uncultured bacterium. RNAcentral describes it as "partial 16S ribosomal RNA". It matches the Rfam family "Bacterial small subunit ribosomal RNA", at positions 505 to 807 of the family's 1533-position model. The record is from RNAcentral.